RNAcentral lists this ribosomal RNA (253 nucleotides) under uncultured prokaryote. Its description in RNAcentral is "partial 16S ribosomal RNA". It matches the Rfam family "Bacterial small subunit ribosomal RNA", at positions 524 to 776 of the family's 1533-position model. The record is from RNAcentral.
UACAGAGGCCUCGAGCGUUAGGCGGAAUCACUGGGCUUAAAGCGUGUGUAGGCGGACUUCUAAGUACCUUGUGAAAUCCCACGGCUUACCCGUGGAACUGCUGGGUAUACUGGUCGUCUUGAGCCAUCUAGGGGCUACCGGAACAAAUGGUGGAGCGGUGAAAUGCGUAGAUAUCAUUUGGAACGCCAAUGGUGAAAACAGGUAGCUGGGGAUGUGCUGACGCUGAGACACGAAAGCGUGGGGAUCAAACAGG